RNAcentral lists this ribosomal RNA (644 nucleotides) under uncultured bacterium. Its description in RNAcentral is "bacterial SSU rRNA". It matches the Rfam family "Bacterial small subunit ribosomal RNA", at positions 143 to 803 of the family's 1533-position model. The record is from RNAcentral.
AUAACAGAUGGAAACGGCUGCUAAUACCGCAUAAGCGCACAGUACCGCAUGGUACAGUGUGAAAAACUCCGGUGGUGUGAGAUGGACCCGCGUCUGAUUAGCUAGUUGGCAGGGCAACGGCCUACCAAGGCGACGAUCAGUAGCCGACCUGAGAGGGUGACCGGCCACAUUGGGACUGAGACACGGCCCAAACUCCUACGGGAGGCAGCAGUGGGGAAUAUUGCACAAUGGGGGAAACCCUGAUGCAGCGACGCCGCGUGAGCGAAGAAGUAUUUCGGUAUGUAAAGCUCUAUCAGCAGGGAAGAAGAAAUGACGGUACCUGACUAAGAAGCACCGGCUAAAUACGUGCCAGCAGCCGCGGUAAUACGUAUGGUGCAAGCGUUAUCCGGAUUUACUGGGUGUAAAGGGAGCGCAGGCGGAAGGCUAAGUCUGAUGUGAAAGCCCGGGGCUCAACCCCGGUACUGCAUUGGAAACUGGUCAUCUAGAGUGUCGGAGGGGUAAGUGGAAUUCCUAGUGUAGCGGUGAAAUGCGUAGAUAUUAGGAGGAACACCAGUGGCGAAGGCGGCUUACUGGACGAUAACUGACGCUGAGGCUCGAAAGCGUGGGGAGCGAACAGGAUUAGAUACCCUGGUAGUCCACGCCGU